UACGAAGGGGGCUAGCGUUGCUCGGAAUCACUGGGCGUAAAGGGUGCGUAGGCGGGUCUUUAAGUCAGGGGUGAAAUCCUGGAGCUCAACUCCAGAACUGCCUUUGAUACUGAGGAUCUUGAGUUCGGGAGAGGUGAGUGGAACUGCGAGUGUAGAGGUGAAAAUUCGUAGAUAUUCGCAAGAACACCAGUGGCGAAGGCGGCUCACUGGCCCGAUACUGACGCUGAGGCACGAAAGCGUGGGAGCAACAGGG
RNAcentral lists this ribosomal RNA (253 nucleotides) under uncultured bacterium. Its description in RNAcentral is "partial 16S ribosomal RNA". It matches the Rfam family "Bacterial small subunit ribosomal RNA", at positions 524 to 776 of the family's 1533-position model. The record is from RNAcentral.